Molecule: long non-coding RNA, 664 nt
Filed under: Homo sapiens (human)
Lineage: Eukaryota; Metazoa; Chordata; Mammalia; Primates; Hominidae
Description: non-protein coding lnc-RPS13-1:3
Source: RNAcentral
UCCUUUCGUUGCCUGAUCGCCGCCAUCAUGGGUCGCAUGCAUGCUCCCGGGUGAGCUCGGGGCAUCAAGCCGGAUUGCUGGGCGGGGGGUGGGAGGAAGACAGGGAGUGUGGGCAGCGGGCCGAGGGGAUGAUGUUCUGGGCUGCUCUGGCACUAGCCGCCACCUCACCUCGAGACUGCUUCUCUCCCCAGGAAGGGCCUGUCCCAGUCGGCUUUACCCUAUCGACGCAGCGUCCCCACUUGGUUGAAGUUGACAUCUGACGACGUGAAGGAGCAGAUUUACAAACUGGCCAAGAAGGGCCUUACUCCUUCACAGAUCGGUGUAAUCCUGAGAGAUUCACAUGGUGUUGCACAAGUACGUUUUGUGACAGGCAAUAAAAUUUUAAGAAUUCUUAAGUCUAAGGGACUUGCUCCUGAUCUUCCUGAAGAUCUCUACCAUUUAAUUAAGAAAGCAGUUGCUGUUCGAAAGCAUCUUGAGAGGAACAGAAAGGAUAAGGAUGCUAAAUUCCGUCUGAUUCUAAUAGAGAGCCGGAUUCACCGUUUGGCUCGAUAUUAUAAGACCAAGCGAGUCCUCCCUCCCAAUUGGAAAUAUGAAUCAUCUACAGCCUCUGCCCUGGUCGCAUAAAUUUGUCUGUGUACUCAAGCAAUAAAAUGAUUGUUUAACU